This 84-nucleotide transfer RNA is filed under the name Longimonas halophila. It matches the Rfam family "tRNA". From Rfam's summary of the family: Transfer RNA (tRNA) molecules are approximately 80 nucleotides in length. The record is from Rfam by way of RNAcentral. Lineage: Bacteria; Pseudomonadati; Rhodothermota; Rhodothermia; Rhodothermales; Salisaetaceae.
GCGAAAGUGGCGGAAUUGGUAGACGCGCGAGGUUUAGGACCUCGUGCCCACUUGGGCGUGGGGGUUCGAGUCCCCCCUUUCGCA